AUAAAGUUUUAUUUUAGCUUAAUGUUUUAUUUUUAAUUUUUUUACAUAUAAGUUAUUGCAAGAAUUUUAAAAAAUUUAAAUAAUUAAUAAUUUUAAAUAUGUGUAGUGAAUAAUUUUAUUAAUUAAAGAAAUUUAGAUAUAGAAAUAUUAAAUAGAAUUAGUCAAAUUUGUGCCAGCAACUGCGGUUAGACAAAGAUUUCAAGUAAAAUAAAUUAGUAAUUAGUUAAAUUGUUAAUUAAUAAAUAAAAUUAUUUUAGGUGAAAUUUAAUAAUUUAAUUUUGAAAAAAAAUUGAGGCUAGGAAAUUUUAAUGAAAAACUAGGAUUAGAUACCCUAUUAUUUAAAAUGUAAUAAAGUUACUAGGGUAUUAAUAGAUAUGAUCUUUAAACUUAAAAAAUUUGGCGGUAUUUUAGUCUUUUCAGAGGAACCUGUAGAGUAAUCGAUAAUCCACGAUGAACCUUUCUUGAAUUUAUAAAUUAGUUUAUAUACCGUCGUUAUAAAAAAUUUUAUAAGAAAAAUAAUUUUUAAGAUACAAGAUAAUGUAAUAUAUCAGAUCAAGGUGUAGCAUAUAUUUAAGUUUUUAUGGGUUACAUUUAUUUAAAUAAUACGAAUAGAAGAAUGAAAAAUGUCUUGAAGGUGGAUUUGAGAGUAAAAAUUUAAAGAUAAAAAUUUUGAUUAUAGCUCUAAAAUAUGUACAUAUCGCCCGUCACUCUUGCUAUUAAAGUAAGAUAAGUCGUAACAUAGUAAGUGUACUGGAAAGUGUACUUAGAAUACA
Molecule: non-coding RNA, 773 nt
Filed under: Puliciphora borinquenensis
Lineage: Eukaryota; Metazoa; Arthropoda; Insecta; Diptera; Phoridae
Source: RNAcentral